RNAcentral lists this ribosomal RNA (491 nucleotides) under uncultured bacterium. Its description in RNAcentral is "partial 16S ribosomal RNA". It matches the Rfam family "Bacterial small subunit ribosomal RNA", at positions 29 to 507 of the family's 1533-position model. The record is from RNAcentral.
GUGAACGCUGGCGGUAGGCCUAACACAUGCAAGUCGAACGGCAGCACAGUAAGAGCUUGCUCUUACGGGUGGCGAGUGGCGGACGGGUGAGGAAUACAUCGGAAUCUACUUUUUCGUGGGGGAUAACGUAGGGAAACUUACGCUAAUACCGCAUACGACCUACGGGUGAAAGCAGGGGAUCUUCGGACCUUGCGCGAUUGAAUGAGCCGAUGUCGGAUUAGCUAGUUGGCGGGGUAAAGGCCCACCAAGGCGACGAUCCGUAGCUGGUCUGAGAGGAUGAUCAGCCACACUGGAACUGAGACACGGUCCAGACUCCCACGGGAGGCAGCGGUGGGGAAUAUUGGACAAAGGGCGCAAGCCUGAUCCAGCCAUACCGCGUGGGUGAAGAAGGCCUUCGGGUUGUAAAGCCCUUUUGUUGGGAAAGAAAAGCAGCAGGUUAAUACCCCGCUGUUCUGACGGUACCCAAAGAAUAAGCACCGGCUAACUUCGUG